GACGAACGCUGGCGGCGCGCCUAACACAUGCAAGUCGAGCGAUGAAAUUUUAACCGCUCUCUUCGGCGAGAAGAUAAAAUGGAUUAGCGGCGGACGGGUGCGUAACCCGUGAGAAACCUGCCUUUCACAAGGGGAUAGCCUCGGGAAACCGGGAUUAAUACCCUAUGACACAUUUCCUUCGCAUGGAAGCAAUGUUAAAACUCCGGUUGUGAAAGAUGGUCUCGCGCCGGCUUAGCUAGUUGGUGGGGUAACGGCCCACCAAGGCCAGGCUCAGUAACCGGCCUGAGAGGCUGAACGGUCACAUUUGAACGGAGACACAGUCCAGACUCCUACGGGAGGCAGCAGAGGCGGAUAUUGCACAAUCGAGGAAGCUAUGAUGCAGCGACGCUGCGUGAGCGAUGAAGGCGUUAGAGACGUAAAGCUCUGUCCUAUGGGAAGAUAAUGACGGUACCAAAGGAGGAAGCCCCGGCUAACUACGUG
Molecule: ribosomal RNA, 480 nt
Filed under: uncultured bacterium
Lineage: Bacteria
Description: partial 16S ribosomal RNA
Rfam family: Bacterial small subunit ribosomal RNA
Source: RNAcentral